GUGUGUGUGUGUAUCUCCCUCUCCCUCUUUCUCUCUCUCUUUCUCUCAUAUAUUAACAAUAUGUUAUAUUUGCAAGGCAUUUCAUGGUUUAUAAGGCCUUGAGGAUAACAUGGUGUUAGAGAGAGAGAGAGAGAGAGAGAGAGAGAGAGAGAGAGAGGAGAGAG
RNAcentral lists this microRNA precursor (164 nucleotides) under Marmota monax (woodchuck). The record is from RNAcentral. Lineage: Eukaryota; Metazoa; Chordata; Mammalia; Rodentia; Sciuridae.